This 552-nucleotide ribosomal RNA is filed under the name Trichoderma atroviride. RNAcentral describes it as "eukaryotic LSU rRNA". The stretch from base 191 to 344 matches the Rfam family "5.8S ribosomal RNA". The record is from RNAcentral. Lineage: Eukaryota; Fungi; Ascomycota; Sordariomycetes; Hypocreales; Hypocreaceae.
CAUUACCGAGUUUACAACUCCCAAACCCAAUGUGAACCAUACCAAACUGUUGCCUCGGCGGGGUCACGCCCCGGGUGCGUCGCAGCCCCGGAACCAGGCGCCCGCCGGAGGGACCAACCAAACUCUUUUCUGUAGUCCCCUCGCGGACGUUAUUUCUUACAGCUCUGAGCAAAAAUUCAAAAUGAAUCAAAACUUUCAACAACGGAUCUCUUGGUUCUGGCAUCGAUGAAGAACGCAGCGAAAUGCGAUAAGUAAUGUGAAUUGCAGAAUUCAGUGAAUCAUCGAAUCUUUGAACGCACAUUGCGCCCGCCAGUAUUCUGGCGGGCAUGCCUGUCCGAGCGUCAUUUCAACCCUCGAACCCCUCCGGGGGGUCGGCGUUGGGGACCUCGGGAGCCCCUAAGACGGGAUCCCGGCCCCGAAAUACAGUGGCGGUCUCGCCGCAGCCUCUCCUGCGCAGUAGUUUGCACAACUCGCACCGGGAGCGCGGCGCGUCCACGUCCGUAAAACACCCAACUUCUGAAAUGUGACCUCGAUCAGGUAAGAAACCCAGUC